GGAGUCCAUGUGUCAUAGGAGUUCGUCUGGAAUCUGUCCGCUACAGAAGUUCGAUCAGAAUCCGAUCUCCGUAGAAGCUCGGAUGGGGAUUAUUUGUCGAGGAAGCUCGGUCGAAGCCUGCUUGCAAUAGAAAUCCGAAAGGAAUUUAUCCAUAAUAGAAGCUCAGGUGGGGGCUUACAGUAGGAAUCCGACGUGGGCCGUUCGUAGUAGAAAUUUAAAGUAGACCGCUUGUAGUAGAAGCUUGGAGUAGAUCACUUGCAAUAGAAGCUCGGAGUCCGGCCCUUGUAAGAGUUCGGGUGAGG
Molecule: long non-coding RNA, 302 nt
Filed under: Elaeis guineensis (African oil palm)
Lineage: Eukaryota; Viridiplantae; Streptophyta; Magnoliopsida; Arecales; Arecaceae
Description: long non-coding RNA (EGUI_LNC082612)
Source: RNAcentral